UACGUAGGGCGCAAGCGUUAUCCGGAAUUAUUGGGCGUAAAGAGCUCGUAGGCGGUUUGUCGCGUCUGCCGUGAAAGUCCGGGGCUCAACUCCGGAUCUGCGGUGGGUACGGGCAGACUAGAGUGAUGUAGGGGAGACUGGAAUUCCUGGUGUAGUGGUGGAAUGCGUAGAUAUCGGGAGGAACACCAGUGGCGAAGGCGGCUACCUGGACCGGUUCUGACACUGAGGAGCGAAAGCGUGGGGAGCGAUCCGG
This 253-nucleotide ribosomal RNA is filed under the name uncultured bacterium. RNAcentral's name for it is "partial 16S ribosomal RNA". It matches the Rfam family "Bacterial small subunit ribosomal RNA", at positions 524 to 776 of the family's 1533-position model. The record is from RNAcentral.